UCCAAUCGAACUCGGAGAUAGCUGGUUCUCCCCGAAAUAGCUUUAGGGCUAGCGUCGGAUAUGUGUAGUGGAGGUAGAGCACUGAAUGGGCUAGGGGGCAUAUCGCUUACCGAACCUUAUCAAACUCCGAAUGCCAUAUACAUUUAGUCCGGCAGUCAGACUACGAAUGAUAAGAUCCGUGGUCAAAAGGGAAACAGCCCAGAUCGUCAGCUAAGGUCCCAAAGUGUAAGUUAAGUGGAAAAGGAUGUGGGAUUUCUAAGACAACUAGGAUGUUGGCUUAGAAGCAGCCACUCAUUUAAAGAGUGCGUAAUAGCUCACUAGUCGAGAGAUCCUGCGCCGAAAAUGUCCGGGGCUCAAACUUACCACCGAAGCUACGGGCUUGCGUAAGCAAGCGGUAGGGGAGCGUCGUAAUCGGGCUGAAGUCGUACCGUAAGGAGCGGUGGACUGAUUACGAGUGAGAAUGUUGGCAUUAGUAGCGAGAUGUAGGUGAGAAUCCUACAGGCCGAAUAUCUAAGGUUUCCUCAGGAAGGCUCGUCCGCUGAGGGUUAGUCGGGACCUAAGCCGAGGCCGAAAGGCGUAGGCGAUGGACAAUCGGUUGAUAUUCCGAUACCACUACCAUCGUUAUUAUCGAGGGUGUGACGGAGAAGGAUAGUGUGUGCUAGCGAUUGGAAAUGCUAGUCUAAGCGUUUAGGGAGUUACGGUAGGCAAAUCCGCUGUAACAAUUCUGAGGCGUGAUGGGGAAGGCCAUAUAGGCCGAAGUACAUGAUUCCAUGCUUCCAAGAAAAGCAUCUAGAGAGAGAAGUAGUGCCCGUACCGCAAACCGACACAGGUAGAUGAGGAGAGAAUCCUAAGGCCGGCGGAAGAAUUGCAGUUAAGGAACUAGGCAAAUUGACCCCGUAAGUUCGCGAGAAGGGGUGCCUGCGAGAGCAGGCCGCAGAGAAUAGGCCCAAGCAACUGUUUAGCAAAAACACAGGUCUCUGCUAAAGCGUAAGCUGAUGUAUAGGGGCUGACGCCUGCCCGGUGCUGGAAGGUUAAGGGGAACACUUAGCGCAAGCGAAGGUGUGAACUUAAGCCCCAGUAAACGGCGGCCGUAACUAUAACGGUCCUAAGGUAGCGAAAUUCCUUGUCAGGUAAGUUCUGACCCGCACGAAUGGCGUAAUGACUUGGGCACUGUCUCAACUGCAAAUCCGGCGAAGUUGUAGUGCGAGUGAAGAUGCUCGCUACCCGCGAUUGGACGGAAAGACCCCGUAGAGCUUUACUGUAGCUUAGCAUUGAAUUCCGGUAUUGUCUGUACAGGAUAGGUGGGAGACUGGGAAACUAGGGCGUCAGCCUUAGUGGAGUCAACCUUGGGAUACCACCCUGACAGUACUGGGGUUCUAACAGGACGCCAUGAAUCUGGUGACUGGACAUUGUUAGGUGGGCAGUUUGACUGGGGCGGUCGCCUCCUAAAAAGUAACGGAGGCGCCCAAAGGUUCCCUCAGAACGGUCGGAAAUCGUUCGUAGAGUGCAAAGGCAGAAGGGAGCCUGACUGCGAGACAUACAAGUCGAGCAGGGACGAAAGUCGGGCUUAGUGAUCCGGUGGUACCUCGUGGGAGGGCCAUCGCUCAACGGAUAAAAGCUACCUCGGGGAUAACAGGCUGAUCUCCCCCAAGAGUCCACAUCGACGGGGAGGUUUGGCAC
Molecule: ribosomal RNA, 1680 nt
Filed under: human gut metagenome
Description: bacterial LSU rRNA
Rfam family: Bacterial large subunit ribosomal RNA
Source: RNAcentral